Molecule: long non-coding RNA, 4905 nt
Filed under: Ixodes scapularis (black-legged tick)
Lineage: Eukaryota; Metazoa; Arthropoda; Arachnida; Ixodida; Ixodidae
Description: uncharacterized LOC115322159
Source: RNAcentral
AGUAUUGGGGAGGAGAUCGAAUGGUGGCGCUGGCUAGCGGCCGCCGUCGCAACUAUUUUGCGGGAAUAACAAUUCCGCCGCUAGUAUUCGUUCAGCCAUGGAGGACGAAGACUUGAGGCUCGUGAAAGGUAUGUGGAAUAGUUAUCUGCUCGAAAAGCAUCUGCAGGGGGGGUAGCAUUAGUCCCUGCUUGUCUCGCUUUGCUUUAAAUGUCGCCGCUAUCUCGUUCGAAGCAAAAACCAACCCACGUCUAGCCGCUAGCGAUUGGCCGCGUCGCUCCGGCUGCGCGUGCCAGGUCGUGCGUGAUUGACGCGGUGUGGCGAUGUUUGUGCGCUUCCUAGGUUGGAGAAACCGUACUCGCGGAACUCGCGCAUUGCUUUUCAGUGUCCUUGUCACUUGCAACAACAAUCAGCCAUAUCGGCGAGAGCAAGAGAUGCCUCGUUGAAGGCGAAGACGUAUCGAAGUCCGAUCAUGUGAUAGAGUGCAGCGUCGCCCCGGAGCUGACGGCUGACAGCGUCCGCAUCGUCGGAUACGUCCUCCAGUCCUGCGCUCUGCACAGCGAUCCGCAUACAGUGCAUCUCACUCUGAACAAAGGGGAGAUUGUCUCUCUGUGCUGCACGUGCCCUGCAGGGCAAGAAUGCACGUUUCCACUGCGUUUUUUUUUAACGAGAGGGGUUAGGCGAUAAACCACGUUUUAUUAGACGACAUCAGUUCCUUCAUCGUUCUCUUAAUCUGCAAGGUAGUUUUGUUAUGAAAUGUUGCACUGCCUAGGCAUUCCGUAGUUAAGAACUGAUUUAAGUGAGGAAAUCUACGAGGUGUUGUAGAAGUGGUGUAGAAUGCAAGAGAUAUAACAGAUGUGUGUUUGUGCUGCCCCCAGAAAGUCAAGCGAAUGCAAGCACUGCACUGCUGUCCUGCUGAAAACCAACAGGAUGCAAGAGCUUCCAGUUGUCAAGCACAGACUUGCCGCAGGCUUGGGGCCAGCAUGCGAAGGAUGUCGUCAAGACCAAGUAUGCAGUGAGGUCUCUCAUGGAGAUCCCCUUCUGCCCAAAGUUCAAGCGACCUGCCUUGCCAGCCGUCGAGCGUUGUGUCGUGGACAGACUUAUGGAAGGCCUUCCGCACAUCUGUCCUGUCGCUAUUCACAAAAGGAAGAGAACACGAAAAGAGACAGGUGGAGCCAGCACUUCAGCAGCUGUGCCUCGACCCUGAAGCCUGCUUGAAGCGCUUCAGGACCUGCCUGAGGAGGAGACCGAAAACCUGCUGGAGCAACUCAAGCGCAUAAUGACACGAGAGGCUAUUGCGGAAGUUGAGCGCAUGACAAGGGCACAGGCCUCAUCAUCUGAUUGGAUGCUGUACAGGAGGGGUAUGGCCACUGCAUCCAUAUGCCGUGGGUUCUUUACCCGCGCUGUCACUAAAGGCUCAACCACGGCCGCACAACUUGAGAGGUCUCCUUGACAAAGUGUUGCAAGUCAGCACAUUUCAGUCAGCGUCAAUGAAGAGGGGACAGCAGAAGGAGGGAACUGCGAAAGAGAAAUACCUAUCAAAGCUGGUGAAGGAAGGACAUUGUCCUAGGAUUGAGAACGGAGGGCUGAUAAUAUGGGGCCAAAUGCCCAUUAUGGAGAGUUCGCCCGAUGGGAUCGUGGUGUUUGAGUGUGAAUGUUGUCAGGGAAAGCGGGUGCUUCUGGAAGUCGAAUGCCCAGAGGUCGUCUAGAAUUCGUUCUGUAAAAAAACUAGAGAGCCCCAGUCCGUCUACUACAUGCAGAUGCAGGUUUGCAUGGGUAUCACUGCACUCGCAAGUUGCGACUUUUUUGCUUAUGUCUCAGAAACAGACUACAAGCUAGUUGAAGUGAAGUAUGAUCAUGCUCACUUCGAGGAAUGUGUGCAUGCUGUACGGUCAAUAUAUGUGGACUAUCUUUUCGCUGAGCUAAGGGGGGCAUUUAACUAGCUUCCUUUUUUGUUUUUAUCCAAGGUGUGCUGCAGUACUGUGCGCUAUGGAAGCCGUGCAAAACGACUACUGUGCAACCCUCUUGGGCAAAUCAGGCAUAGAAACAAUGAGGCACAAUUGAAAUGAACUUCUUUAUUUCUCAUUUUUUAGCACACGCUUAGCAUGGAUAUAGCUUCGCAUCAUAACUGACACGCCGUCAUCAAGACUACCCAUGCACCCAUCAAGACUAGGCGCACUGAUGUCAAGUGUAUUUGUCGUGAGCCAAUUCAUAAUAACUAGAGGCUUAUUUUUUUAACUAUUUACUCAUUUAUUUAGCAUACGUGCAAUCUAGUUGAGAUACUGUCCCAUCAUUUUCAUCUCUUGAUGACAGCGCGUAAAUGACGUAAGGCCAAGCAAAAGCCUCCUGCAAUAUUCACUGCUGACUACCGUGCCCAAUAUUGCAGCUACAUGACAUAUUAGUUCCAAAGCGAGCAGUGCUCGCUCACAAAGGCACCGCCAUGUUUCCCUGCUGCCUUAAUCUUCCAGUCACGUGACCUAAAAUUUCCCCUCGUAAGGAAAUGCGAUUAAAUUUUUACUGCGGUUAAAGUUAACCGGCUUUUAGAAAAAUUUCAUAAGCCUCGCACAAAACUGGUCUGAAGUUGCACUGAUCCCAUCCAGCAUACCGAGUUUUCUGUUACACAUUUUAUAGACUAGCACCUUUUCCGCACAAAGCCUUCAUCACAUUGCGAGCACUUUUCCCGAUGUUUGAACCCGCAUAAAUGAUGAUACAAGCCGCUAAUACGCAUAUUUACUCUAUUUACAUGUGGCUUCCUUGCCAGCUACAGAAACUUAUCUUCUGCAAAAAUUGGCAGUGAAAGGUUUACGAUACCUGCAAGGAGCUGCAUUACAUCGUCAAACAGGAAGCAGGUGCUUAGGAAAAUGAUGCUGCAGAAUCUUGAACACUUUUAGUCGUUGAAUGGCACGUUCCACGUGGACACGUGCAAGUGCGAUAUCUUGGUUCCCGAGUGCGUCAUGUUCAGUCAUCUGUUGCUUGUUCCUCAGAAAUGGAGGCUGCACAAGCUCGACAAGAGCCUCGUCGCAAAGCUUGUCAAUAAGGAAGCCCUUGUCGACCAUUACCUGCUCGUACGGUGAGCACCUCUCCAGAACUCGAUUCCUUUGUGAUAAAAGAAUGCGAAGUCCGUCCCCCAAAAGCACGGCUCACGAACGUAAACAUGCCAGUUGGUGCGUACCCAAUCAGCACUUUUAGGGUGUAGGUUUUCUUAUAAUGACUGUACAUCAGUAUCCUGGAUGCAAGGUCAAGUGGUCGCUGGAUGGGGAUCUCAGUGCAGUCCAGAAUAACUUUCGUGCGAGGAAACUUUUAAAGUAAACUGUGAGGUUGUUCUCAAUAGACUGGUCGCAGGGAACAUACAGGGCUGACCCUAAAACCGAACUCAGGACACAAAGGGACAUCUUCACGUUCUCAGACGCCGUUGUUCUAUGUAUCCUGAAAAGGAACGCUAGGAAACUGAUAAUGACAUCAUGAUAGAGCUUCAUCAAUGUGAUGAGCACAGUGUCACCUGAAGAAAGCAGGAAGCUCCUCGAAGAAAGCUUUGCUCGCACACUAUCGAACUCUGUUACAAUGUUUCUCAUUAGUUGUAGAGAUCCAACCCCAGUUAGUGAGGCAAGCUCGCUGUCACUUUUAGCUUUCGCCAAGCGAACGUGGGGCCCUAGCUUCGCCUGCAACAUGCUGUCUACUUGAACGCAGGCAUCCUGGGCAGGCAAUUCCUUUUGGAUGUUCAAAAGGGAGUCGUGGGGCCCUACAAAAAAAAAAAAAAAAAGAAUGUAACAGAAAUUUACAUUUUCAGCAUUUCCUUACAGUGUGUGUGCAGUCAUGACCCACAUGGAUGUGAACGUCGGAUCACCAACCACUCCGUACUGGCAGUGCCAUGGAGCAGUGGCCAUAGUGCCCUGCAGCUCAGUUCCAGAAGCGUCAAAAGGCGAACAAGCUACCAUGGCCAUAGCUUCAUGAUGCUGCAGGUGCGGAGUGAUUGAUGGUCUUAUGUUCACCUUCAUAUGUACCAUGACUGCAGCGAGGCUACACAAAAUACAGCCGUGUCAUAUGGUGCCUGUAAGCAGCUUUUUGCGGCCCACAGUGCAACCAAAGUAUUUGCCACUAUCCCGGAAACUGUAGAAUUUCUUUUUUGGAAAGCUGAAACUAUCCCAUGCUCCCCGUCCUCCUCUACCCCAUCCGAUUCCCCGCAUCGUCCCCGAUCCGAUAACUGCUCGGAGUACACUGACAGCCCUCAGAUGCUCAGGAAUUUUCCACACGCCCUCGCAUCUCACCAUCACCUUGAUGCCUUCAGUCCUAAUUAUCAGCCCUCUUUGUUCACCUCAGGAGAGGCUCGCCCCUCCCCCCCCGGACGCCGCUGAUGCGGUACCAUGGUGCUAGGCCCCCAUGGCCGAUAUUCACCAAGCUUCUCCAGACGCCUAACACUUAUUUUUUCACCUGGCUCUCGAGUAAGGGGCUCUUUAUUUUAAUAAAGAUUUGUCCUCCUGCCCAAGUGUGAAUCUUUCUGCUUGACCAACACUGCUUUUUCAUCAAGUUCCGCCAAAAUGUUAUGACCCUAAAGGUGAAAACGGCAGAACACGCACAAAAUGAAUACAACAGCAUAGGUGGCAACUAUACCAAAGCAUAACUUCCAUAAAUGUUUCCAGCAAUGGAAGACUGCUGGGUUAAGUGUUCAAAUGCGCAAGGAGCAUACUUCGAAGGAAAUUUAGGAGUUGGACACCGCAAGUAUAACCAAUCUUUUUUUCAGGCAGUCGCUGGAAAUGAAAUGUUUUGUAAUGCCGAAAUCACAAUAAAUUGGCAUGCGGUGGUCACAAAACUUGCAUUGUAUUUCACUGUCACUGCAGUGACUGCUGGUCUCCGCGCAGUGCUCGUCACAGGUGAGAGUGGCCUCGCUGUCCCCAUCACAGGAAACGGUCU